CCUACGGGGCGCAGCAGUGAGGAAUAUUGGUCAAUGGCCGGAAGGCUGAACCAGCCAAGCCGCGUGAAGGACGAAGGUGCCAAGCAUUGUAAACUUCUUUUGUCAAGGGACAAAAUCAGGCUCGAGAGCCUGACCGAGGGUACUUGAAGAAAAAGCAUCGGCUAACUCCGUGCCAGCAGCCGCGGUAAUACGGAGGAUGCGAGCGUUAUCCGGAUUUAUUGGGUUUAAAGGGUGCGUAGGCGGCACGGCAAGCCGGCGGUCAAAUCGCGGGGCUCAACCCCGCCCAGCCG
RNAcentral lists this ribosomal RNA (290 nucleotides) under uncultured bacterium. Its description in RNAcentral is "partial 16S ribosomal RNA". It matches the Rfam family "Bacterial small subunit ribosomal RNA", at positions 338 to 626 of the family's 1533-position model. The record is from RNAcentral.